UACAGAGGGGGCAAGCGUUGUUCGGAAUUACUGGGCGUAAAGGGCGCGUAGGCGGCCCGCUAAGUCGAACGUGAAAUCCCUGGGCUCAACCCAGGAACUGCGUCCGAUACUGGCAGGCUUGAAUCCGGGAGAGGGAUGUGGAAUUCCAGGUGUAGCGGUGAAAUGCGUAGAUAUCAGUCGGAACACCGGUGGCGAAGGCGGCUUCUUGGGCCGUUCCUGACGCUGAGGCGCGAAAGCGUGGGGAGCGAACAGG
RNAcentral lists this ribosomal RNA (253 nucleotides) under uncultured bacterium. Its description in RNAcentral is "partial 16S ribosomal RNA". It matches the Rfam family "Bacterial small subunit ribosomal RNA", at positions 524 to 776 of the family's 1533-position model. The record is from RNAcentral.